RNAcentral lists this ribosomal RNA (494 nucleotides) under uncultured bacterium. RNAcentral describes it as "partial 16S ribosomal RNA". It matches the Rfam family "Bacterial small subunit ribosomal RNA", at positions 28 to 507 of the family's 1533-position model. The record is from RNAcentral.
GACGAACGCUGGCGGCGUGCUUAACACAUGCAAGUCGAACGGAAAGGCCUGCUUUCCCUUGUGGAUUGCGGGUACUCGAGUGGCGAACGGGUGAGUAACACGUGAGUGAUCUGCCCCCAACUUGGGUAUAAGCCUGGGAAACUGGGUCUAAUUCCCGAUAGGACUGCAGGGUGGUGCCUGUGGUGGAAAACGAUUUUCUAGUGGUUGGGGAUGAGCUCGCGGCCUAUCAGCUUGUUGGUGGGGUAAUGGCCUACCAAGGCGGCGACGGGUAGCCGGCCUGAGAGGGUGGACGGCCACAUUGGGACUGAGAUACGGCCCAGACUCCUACGGGAGGCAGCAGUGGGGAAUAUUGCACAAUGGGCGGAAGCCUGAUGCAGCGACGCCGCGUGGGGGAUGACGGCCUUCGGGUGGUAAACUCCUUUCGACCGCGAGGAAGCCACCUGGUUGGAAGGGUGGUGACGGUAGCGGUAGAAGAAGCACCGGCUAACUACGUG